UUCCCUGUGGCUCAGUUGGUAGAGCACGGUGUUUGCAACGCCAGGGUUGUGGGUUUGAUUCCCACGGGGGGAA
This 73-nucleotide transfer RNA is filed under the name Salmo salar (Atlantic salmon). It matches the Rfam family "tRNA". Rfam says of the family: Transfer RNA (tRNA) molecules are approximately 80 nucleotides in length. Their secondary structure includes four short double-helical elements and three loops (D, anti-codon, and T loops). Lineage: Eukaryota; Metazoa; Chordata; Actinopteri; Salmoniformes; Salmonidae. The record is from Rfam by way of RNAcentral.